This 6219-nucleotide long non-coding RNA is filed under the name Homo sapiens (human). RNAcentral's name for it is "long non-coding RNA NONHSAT194456.1". The record is from RNAcentral. Lineage: Eukaryota; Metazoa; Chordata; Mammalia; Primates; Hominidae.
CUGGGAUUACAGGUGCACACCACCACGCCCAGCUAAUUUUUGUAGUUUUAGUAGAGAUGGGGUUUCACCUUGUUGGUCAGGCUGGGCUUGAACUCCUGACCUCAGGUGAUCCACCUGCCUUGGCCUCCCAAAGUGCUGUCAUUACAGGCCUGACCCACCAUGCCCAGCCUUAAAUAUUAUUUUUUAAAAAGUAUGGCUUCCCUAGGCACACUGCUUUUAGAGUACCCCUGCUCCACAAGGAGCAGUUAAAAAAUGUGUGUAUACAUUAACAUAUGUAUGUGUAUGUGUAUACAUGUGAUAUAUAUUCCAAACCAUACAUGCACCCUUAACAUUUUUACAUAAAUAGUAUUGUGUCUAUUUGCUUGUGUUCCUGUACAAGAAUGUAAGAUAUGUGAAGCAGAGACUUUAUCUUGCUUUGUCUGUUUUCUGCUGUACUGCUAGCUCCUAGAACAGCUCCUGACACAUGGUAAGCACCCAAGUAUUUGUUGAAUAAGUAAAUAUCAAUCCGUAACUUGCUUUUUAAAUUUGAUAUUGUGUCUCUAAGAUCUAUCUGCGUGUGUGUGUGUGUGUAUAUAUAUAUAUGUUCAUUCUCAUCAAGUUCAUUACUUUAUGCUGCUUUAUAUUAUAAAUAAACUAUGUUCUAUUUGUUCAUUCACCUAUUAGAGGAUAUUUACAUUAUUUUCACUCCUUUGCUAUCAUAAACCCUUACAUGCAAAUUUGCAAAUUUUUUCAGGCCCAUGCAGAAUCAUUUCUCUAGAGUAUAUAUGCCCCAGAAGGUGAAUGUUGAGCAAUGAAGGGUGAUAUUUUAAAUUUCACUGGUUGCUUGUCAUAUUACUCUCAAAAGUGGCCAUAGCUAAUUAUACUCUCAGUAGCAGUGGAUGAAGGCUUCAUGUUUCUUACACCCUUGCCAGAACUUUAUACUGUGAGAUUUUAAAAUUUGUUUGCCAAUCUCAUGGGUGAAACAUGGUGUCUCUUUUUAUUUAAAUUUUUAUUCAGGCUGGGCGCAGUGGCUCAUGCCUGUAAUCCCACCACUUUGGGAGGCCAAAGCGAGUGGAUCACGAAGUCAGGAGAUUGAGACCAUCCUGGCCAACGUGGCGAAACCCCAUCUCUACUAAAAAUACAAAAAAUUAGCUGGGCAUGGUGGGGAGCACCUGUAGUCCCAGCUACUCAGGAGGCUGAGGCAGGAGAAUCGCUUGAACCUGGGAGCGGAGGUUGCAGUGAGCCAAGAUUGUGCCACUGCACUCCACCCUGAGCGAGACUCUGUCUCAAAAAAAAAAAAAAAAAAUUUUAUUCAGAUAACUGUAGAUUUCAUAUGUAGUCGAAAGAAAUAAUACGGAGAACUUGCAUACCGUUAACCCAGAUCCUACUGAUGAUAAUACUUUGCAAAAGUAUAGUCACAACCAGAAUAUCAAAAUUGGCACAGUCCACCAAUUUUGUACAAGUUUCCCUAGUUUUACUCAGACUCAUUUUAUGUGUGUGUGAAUGCAUUUAAUUAUAUAUAAUUUUAUGUCAUAUGUAGGUCCAUGUAUCCACCUCCACACUCAAGAUACAGAACAGUUAAAACACAAGGAUCUUCCUGUCGUGCAAAAUCUCAGCUCACUGCAACCUCCACCUGCUGGGUUCAAGCAAUUCUUGUGCCUCAGCCUCCCAAGUAGCUGGGACUACAGGGAUGCAUCACCACACCUGGCUAAUUUUUGUAUUUUUAGUAAAGACGGGGUUUUACCAUGUUGGCCAGGCUGGUCUGGAACUCCUGGCCUCAAGUGAUCAGCCUGCCUCGACCUCCCAAAGUACUGGGAUUACUGGUGUGAGCCACUGCACCUGGCCUCCCCCUUCUUUUUAACCUCUGUUCUUCAUUUGCAAGAUUUUAUCCUUUCAGGCUGGGCAAGGUGGCUCAUGCCUGUAAUCCUAGCACUUUGGGAGGCUAAGGCAGGCAGAUCACUUGAGGUCAGGAGUUCGAAACCAGCCUGGCCAACAUGGUGAAACCGCGUCUCUACUAAAAAAAAAAAAAAAAAGAAAUACAAAAAAUUAGACCAGGCGCGGUGGCUCACGCCUAUAAUCCCAGCACUUUGGGAGGCCAAGGCAGGCAGAUCACGAGGUCAGGAGUUCGAGACCAGCCUGGCCAAUGUGGUGAAACCCCGUCUCAACUAAAAAUACAAAAAUUAGCCAGGUGCAGUGGCGCGUGCCUGUAGUCCCAGAUACUAGGGAGGCUGAGGCAGGAGAAUUGCUUGAACCCAGGAGGUAGAGGUUACAGUGAGCCGAGAUUGCACCACUGCACUCCAGCCUGGAUGACAGGGAGAGACUCCAUCUAAAAAAAAUUAGCCAGGCGUGGUGGUGGGCACCUGUAAUCCCAGCUACUUGGGAUGCUGAGGCAGGAGAAUCGCUUGAACCCAGGAGGCAGAGGUUUCAGUGAGCUGAUAUCGCACCACUGCACCCCUGCCUGGGUGAUAGAGCAAGACUUCAUCUCAAAAAAAAAAAAAAAAAGAUUUUAUCCUUUCAAAAAUGUUGUAUUCAAUAUUGUGUGUGGAAACUUAAAAAGAAAAAAAAUAAAAAUUAAACAAAAUGUUGUAUAAAAGGAACCAUGUAGUAUGUAACCGUUAGAGAUUGGCUUUUUUCACUCAGCAUAUUCAGCACCAAGUUGUUGCAUGUAUCAGUAAUCCAAGGCCGGGCACAGUGGCUCACACCUUUAAUCCUAGCACUUUGGGAGGCCGAGGCAGGCGGAUCACUGAGGCCAGGAGUUUGAGACUAGCCUGGACAACAUGGUGAAACCCUGUCUCUACUAAAAAUACAAGAAGUAGGCCGGGCGCGGUGGCUCACGCCUAUAAUCCCAGCACUUUGGGAGGCAGAGGCAGGUGGAUUACAGGGUCAGGAGUUCAAGACCAGGCUGGCCAAGAUGGUGAAACCCCCGUCUCUACUAAAAAUAUAAAAAUUAGCCGGGCGUGGUGGCACACUCCUAUAAUCCCAGCUACUUGGGAAGCUAAGGCAAAGAACUGCUUAAACCUGGGAGGCGGAGGUUUCAGUGAGCUGAGAUUGCACUACUGCACUCCAGCCUGGGUGACAGAGCGAGACUCCAUCUCAAAAAAUAUAUAUAUACAAAAAUUAGCUGGACGUGAUGGUGCAUGCCUAUAGUCACAGCUACUUGGAAGGCUGAGGCAGGCACAUUGCUUGAACCUAGGAGGCAGAGGUUGCAGUGAGCCAAGACUGCACCAGUGCACUCUAGCCUGGGUGAUAGAACGAGACUCCAUCUCAAAAAAAAAACCAAGAAAAACAAAAAAAAAUCCCUUUUAUUGUUGGUAUUCUAUGGUAUGGAUGGACCACAGUCUGUUCAACCAUCACUCAUUGAAGGACCUAUGUUUAUUUCCAAGUUUAGGCUAUUACAAAUAAAGCUGCUGUUAACAUUUAUGUAUAGGUUUUUUGUGCGAACAUUAAUUUCCAUUUGGUGUCUCAUUUUUUUCAAUUAGCGUUUCCCAGAUUACCAGUGGGGUUGAAUAUCUCUUCAUAUAUUUGUAGACUAUUCAGGUUUCCUCUUUGCUAUUUUGCUUAUUUCUUCUGUUGGGUUGUCUUUUUCUUACUACUUUGUAAGGGUUCUUUUUUUUUUAAGACGGAGUUUUGUGCAAUCUCGGCUCACUGCAACCUCCGCCUCCCGGGUUCAAGCGAUUCUCCUGCCUCAGCCUCCUGAGUAUCUGGGAUUACAGGCAUGCACUACCAUGCCCGGCUAAUUUUGUAUUUUUAGUGGAGACGGGGUUUCUCUAUGUUGGUCAGGCUGGUCUUGAACUCCUGACCUGAGGUGAUCCACCUGCCUCAGCCUCCCAAAGUGUUGGGAUUACAGGCAUGAGCCACCGCGCCCAGCCUAAAAGUUCUUUAUAUGUUCUGCAUAGCAAUCUUUUGUCAGUUAUGUGAAACUUUGUGUUGACAUUUUGGUGGUCAUUGUUUCUCAACGUGCUGUAAAGUUUAGGAAUAGAUGAAUGAUUUCUGAAACUUGAAUUUGGAUCACUGAUGAAGUGACCAAGGGGUUUCAUUUGGGGCUGCCCACCUUGUGGAGCUUUGGGCCUGCUGCACCUUACAUGUAGCAGUGUUUUCUUUGCAUCCUUGCAUGCCAGCGAUACACUUUAAUUGGUGGCACGUUAGGUUCUAGGCACACCAUAUCAAAACAUCUACCUGCUUGAGGGCAGAUGUCAUGAGCACAGAUCCUUUGCCUCGUUUUUUUGGAACAUUCAGAUACAUUUAUUGCAUUGUAAAACCAGCCGUGUUUUCUGGCAUUUUGACCAGCCCUCGGAAACUGCUGACAUCAUGAUGUACUCCUUGCCUGGUGUUUCCAUUUUCCCCAGCACUGCAGCUAGAAUUUAGAAUCCUGACUCACCCUUCAGCCAGCCACAGAGCAUGCUGAUUAUUCUGGUACAGUCAGUGCUCACGAAGUGACUUUGCAAGGGGAAAUAGCUUUUGGACAAGUCAAAGCCAGUGCAAUUUCAGAUAAUAGCCCAGCUUUUCUUUUCUAACGUUCUCAUCUGCUCAGAUGCUGCUGCUUUCUCCCCUGAUGGGAAGUGGAAGCCAUGAUUCUGCAGUCCUGGCCAUAAAGCUGUGAAUUGUACUAGCUGGCACAGCCAGUACUGCCCUACUGAGUUCAGUGAACUGUCCUUCUGAUCUACACUGAGAGAGCCUGGCUGUGGUGCAAUGCUCACAGUGAAGCCGUCUGCAUAGCUGAGCUAACAAUUCAAACUUCAGCUCUCAUUUCAAUAAAUUACCUUAUAAAACACUCACUGACCAAGAUUACCUUGAGUAGCUUAUUUAUAUGAAUUUUGCAGUUACCCCAAAUUAGCCAUGGAGAAACUGAUAUACAAUGUUUCUUAUAAUUUCCCCUCAAACCAUAGCAAAAACAUGAAGGGAAGUACUAGGAUUUCUGGGAAUAUGGAAUUUAUAUCUAUGCCCCACAAACAAUGUUAAAGAAAACGGGCUUUGGAUAUUUUCAAAGGCCUGUGGUGAGGAUUAAAUAAGGCAUAAUAUAUGAAAAUGUUUUGUGAAUUCCAAAAUGUUUUACCAAGAUAAAAGAUUUUUAAAAUCAGUUUCUGUCAGUUUCAUACAUCCAAUCCUGAAAUCAAGUCUACACUGAUUUAUUACAUAUAAGGAAAUAUUUUUGACGUGAAUAGGCAAUCAUAGAAUUUCUAUUGUAUUCGAAUAAUGAUUGAAAGUAAUUUUCUUUUUGAGAUUUUGACUUCCCCAUUUGAGGUAAUAUUCUCAAGGGACUAAAUGUUACUGAUGUUGAAGAUUUAUCCCAAAUGAGGUUUGCUUUGGGUGACAGAAUUCAAAGCUAGCUCUGAACAAAACUGAAAUGGUGGCUAAUACGAUCCUUUCUGUGCCUCCCUUUUCUUUCCUUUUGGAUACUUCAAAUACACAGCUAGUUUCCUUGGGACAUCCUAGGGCAGUCAGGGUCAUUUCCUUCUCUCUCCAAGACUGACCUGCCACAAUCCAUCAGGGACUAUGAUUUUGUUGUAAAUAUUUAGAAAGAUGGUGCACAACAAUAGAUUUGGCAAAAACUGAGCUGAUGGCAUGCAAGUGUAGCCAAGUGUGGGAAUCCAUACUUGGAAUAAUCUAAAGGAAUGUUUAACGGUGGUAAAAGAGAAGUGCAGGAGAUGGGGCAGCAUUUUCAGGGCCUCUCACCUAAUGAAAUAUUGGCAUCUUACAGGCUUGAGGGUCACUUGUCUGAUGAUUUGUGUGCUAAUUCUGUUGGAAGAGAAGAUUCUCAAGAAAUACACUAUUGCCAUUAAAAGUAAAACACAAGAUUGUUUCCUCCCUUGAAUAUAGCAAGAACUCUGUAGAGUAAUCAAUGCUUUGGCCAGAUAUCCUUGAGAAUUAAUGUUUUUUAGAUUGCAGGGAGAAGAAAAGAGGACAGAAACAAGUUUCUGUUUCAUAUUCCUUCUGUGUGGUGUUAGAGCAGAAGAACCCUAGGGAGUGCAGGGCUGGGGCCUGGGACAUGUGAAUGUCUGCACAUUGGCAGUUCAGCAAGCUUUUCCUGUUGGCCUGCUAUUCCCAGGAGACUGUCUAUAGGGCUGCUUGGCAGCAGGUGAGGAAGGUGUGUAUGUCUGAAAAAUUCAGGAUAGACAGACAACAUCCCAAGUUUUGAACAACAAUCCAACUGUGUGUGUGUGUGUGUGUAUGCACCCGCAUGUUCACAGCUGCACACAGCACCUUGCACUUCCUUUAUUAAUAGAAAACUGGAAGAAUGAU